Molecule: long non-coding RNA, 307 nt
Organism: Pipistrellus kuhlii (Kuhl's pipistrelle)
Lineage: Eukaryota; Metazoa; Chordata; Mammalia; Chiroptera; Vespertilionidae
Exons: 3
Source: RefSeq, a predicted model, not a curated record
UAGUCUCUCUAGAUGUUUGAACAACAUCUGUUAAAAGAGUUAAAGUCACACCCUUUAAGUAUUUUUUUUUGUUAAUUUAUAGGAAUGGUGGUAUUUGAGGAAUGGAAUUGUUAUAGUUGAUGUCUUGGAGAGUAUGCUGACUGUUCAUAAGGGAAGGAAGUAAAGAAAAAAGGGUUCUGUGCCCAUGAGUCUUUAGAGAAAUUAAAAUUAUCUAACCAUUGUUGUAUAUGUGCAUAUUAGUUAAUAUUGCUGUGCAUUCAAAGAUAAUCCCUGAAGUAUAUUAAAAGUAGAGAGAUUGGAAGAGCGU